AACGAACGCUGGCGGCAUGCCUAACACAUGCAAGUCGAACGAGACCUUCGGGUCUUGUGGCGCCCGGGUGCGUAACGCGUGGGAACCUGCCCUUAGGUUCGGAAUAACUCCCCGAAAGGGGUGCUAAUACCGGACAAUGUCUUCUGCCCAAAGAUUUAUCGCCUUUGGUUGGGCCCGCGUUGGAUUAGCUAGUUGGUAGGGUAAAAGCCUACCAAGGCGACGAUCCAUAGCUGGUCUGAGAGGAUGAUCAGCGACACUGGGACUGGGACACGGCCCAGACUCCUACGGGAGGGAGCAGUGGGGAAUAUUGGACAAUGGGCGAAGGCAUGAUCCAGCAAUGCCGCGUGAGUGAUGAAGGCCUUAGGGUUGUAAAGCUCUUUUACCCGGGAUGAUAAUGACAGUACCGGGAGAAUAAGCUCCGGCUAACUACGUG
Molecule: ribosomal RNA, 433 nt
Filed under: uncultured bacterium
Lineage: Bacteria
Description: partial 16S ribosomal RNA
Rfam family: Bacterial small subunit ribosomal RNA
Source: RNAcentral